CUGGUUCGGAUCUUACAAAUCCUACGUCCAGUCGCUUAUCUCAAACUGAGAUAAACAGUUCAUUAAGCAUAAAACAAUUACAAAUUACAAUCACAAAGAAACAAUUUGUAAGAGUUUAGAAACCACCUCUCUUGAUACCACAAGAGAUGAACCUGCACCUCCUUUGAGUCUUCACAAAGGAUGAGACACCUCCUCCGAAUACUUCACGAAGGAUGAAACACCUCCUCUGAAUACUUCACGAAGGAUGAUCCUCUUCCACACACCUCCUUAGACGCACCAAGGAUGAACCAGUUAUUCCUCC
This 301-nucleotide long non-coding RNA is filed under the name Vigna radiata. Its description in RNAcentral is "long non-coding RNA (VRAD_LNC009530)". The record is from RNAcentral. Lineage: Eukaryota; Viridiplantae; Streptophyta; Magnoliopsida; Fabales; Fabaceae.